This is a long non-coding RNA of Hemiscyllium ocellatum (epaulette shark), 831 nucleotides long. RefSeq lists it as uncharacterized. Lineage: Eukaryota; Metazoa; Chordata; Chondrichthyes; Orectolobiformes; Hemiscylliidae. The transcript has 6 exons. The record is from RefSeq and is a predicted model, not a curated record.
CCAACUUUGUCAGAUGCGCUGUCCUUGGAAGCUGACUGAGUGGGUGAAACUGGAUUUUUCAAUCUGCCGAGGAAACAGUCAAUCGCUUUUCUGAAUGCAGCCAUCUUAAUCAGUUUGUUUCAAUAUUCAUUAUCGCGUAUUCUCUGCAACGCCAUCCCACAGGUUUCUUAGUGAAAUCUGGAAACACCUAAACAUCCAGAGUCCCAUUGCCAUAAUCAUUCAGGUCUCCCCUCUUCCAUCACAGCGCCUCUCGCCACUGACUCUCAGAGGUUGUAUUAUAGACUUCGAGCCUGACGUCAGGUUUCUAUCUGCCAGCUCAAGACAGGUGAAGACAACGCUGGGGAGUCAUAUGAACCUUCAGUGGAACAUUAUAGGAGUCUGAAGGACGUGGACGAUGGGGAUUCUCAUCAAGAAGUCAGCCUGAAUGACAAAUUGGCUCCAGUCAAGGAAGGAGAAUUCAGGCUGUAGAAUCAGGCCCCUUUUGAAUGAAAUCACGCUACAGAAGAUUACUAUGGGGAUACAUGGGAUCCACUAUAAAAGUGCUCAGCUGAUGUCUGGACAAUGUACACAAGUGCUAUUAGCCACCAUUGUGGAAGUGUCGCUGGGUCAAAAUCCUGGAUCUCUCACCCUAAUGGCAUUGUGAAUCUACCCUAACCAAAUGGACUGCUGCACUUCAAGAAAGAAGCUCACCAGAACCUUCUCAAGGGUUAAUAGGGAUGGACAAAAAUACUGACUCAGCCAACAGCACCCACAUCCCAUGAAUGAAGAAUAAAAUAAAGAUCCUUCAGAAAUAUUGAAAUCCCCUGCCAUAGUAUGCUGCACGAUAUAUCU